CGCACAUUGCGCCCCGUGGUAUUCCGCGGGGCAUGCCUGUUCGAGCGUCAUUUAGACCAAUCCAGCUUGCUGGGUCUUGGGCUCUCGCCUCCGGGCGGGCCUCAAAAUCAGUGGCGGCGCCGUCUGGCUCUAAGCGCAGUAAUUCUUCUCGCUAUGGAGUCCUAGGCGGUAGCUUGCCAGCAACCCUCAACGUAUCAAGGUUGACCUCGGAUCAGGUAGGGAUACCCGCUGAACUUAA
Molecule: unclassified non-coding RNA, 238 nt
Filed under: Glarea sp.
Lineage: Eukaryota; Fungi; Ascomycota; Leotiomycetes; Helotiales; Helotiaceae
Description: partial contains 5.8S ribosomal RNA, internal transcribed spacer 2, and large subunit ribosomal RNA
Source: RNAcentral